This 492-nucleotide ribosomal RNA is filed under the name uncultured bacterium. Its description in RNAcentral is "partial 16S ribosomal RNA". It matches the Rfam family "Bacterial small subunit ribosomal RNA", at positions 29 to 507 of the family's 1533-position model. The record is from RNAcentral.
AGUGAACGCUGGCGGUAGGCCUAACACAUGCAAGUCGAACGGCAGCACAGUAAGAGCUUGCUCUUACGGGUGGCGAGUGGCGGACGGGUGAGGAAUACAUCGGAAUCUACUUUUUCGUGGGGGAUAACGUAGGGAAACUUACGCUAAUACCGCAUACGACCUACGGGUGAAAGCAGGGGAUCUUCGGACCUUGCGCGAUUGAAUGAGCCGAUGUCGGAUUAGCUAGUUGGCGGGGUAAAGGCCCACCAAGGCGACGAUCCGUAGCUGGUCUGAGAGGAUGAUCAGCCACACUGGAACUGAGACACGGGCCAGACUCCUACGGGAGGCAGCAGUUGGGAAUAUUGGACAAUGGGCGCAAGCCUGAUCCAGCCAUACCGCGUGGGUGAAGAAGGCCUUCGGGUUGUAAAGCCCUUUUGUUGGGAAAGAAAAGCAGCAGGUUAAUACCCCGCUGUUCUGACGGUACCCAAAGAAUAAGCACCGGCUAACUUCGUG